ACCCACGACCAGAGGUGCCCCAACCCCGACUCCAGAGGAUGCUUCCACGGGGGUCACGGAGAUCGUGCGCAAACAAGGGCUGAAGGGGACGAGCCAGGGUCUCACCGGGCCACCCGCUUCUCGGUCAAGACCCACCCCCGCGCAGCUGGUGUGGAAAGGUCAACUUAAGGAGGCCCGGAACCCGGGGUCACCGGGCUCUCCCAGCUCUCGCGUUAACACGUCCCUGCGUCAUCGAGACCCGGAUGCGGGACGUGGGGCCGCGCAGCUUCAACCGCGUGCGAGCGUGCCUGCAGACUGUGAGCUGUGAGCGGCUUAAGGCGCUCUGCCAGGGCUCUGACCCCCGCCUGGACAGGGCCAGCCUGGACGUCGCCAUCCUGUUGGUCGUCUGUGAUGAGGUGGAAGCAGCUUAGGCCAUGACUGUCCUAAGGAGAAGAGAAUCUACCAAAGAAGAGGAUGCUGUUGGACUCAUUGUGCCUGACGAAGAACAGGAAAGGGUGAUUGCAAUGAAAAUGUUCACAACCCGGCGCCAGUGUGAGAGCAAAGCCCACACCGGUGCCUGCUGCGGCCUCAGUCCCUUCCUCGGUGACCGCCACAAAGGCCCUGUGCAGGAACUUCUUCGCCUGCAGCCCGGAGUGUGAGGACAGCCCCAGAGAGUCCGUUCUGUACUCGCUGAAAGCGUCUGCCGGCCCCCUGGCUGCCAAGACGGCCUCCAGGGCCUCCAGAUCGUACCCAUCUUCCACUUCAAACCGCGGAAUAAAGAUCUUCAAACAUCUAGUUUCAGCGCUGCGACCACUGGCCUCAGAGACACCUGCACCACCAACUGCUUGCCCGCCUCCCCAGGACAUACCUGGAAGCCGGUGAGAACUGUCCCCAGUGAAGGUUUGUGCUCUGAUGAAGUCAAUUCAGUUAUCACACAGAGGAGGGAGCAGCCGAGGCUUACCGCCUAUGAAAACUGGUAAGGACAGGUGUUGAGCAAGUAAUUCUAUGCGCUUUUUAAUUAUGACCAUGAAUCACAAUGGUUAGCCUAUAAGACAGAGUGGGGGGAAAGACACACGUUUAUGGUCAUUAACUCAAUGAAUUUUAAAUUAAAGUAAUUACCUCUAAGUCUGUUAUCGCUCUUUUAGAAUAGAACAUUCCACUGGCACAGCCUCUCUUUGUAAGUCGUCUCACAGCCUGCUAUUUUCAGGAAACCAGAGGUUACAGAGGAAGUCUUUAGAAAGCGCUGCUAGAAAGGCUUGGAUUUCUCUCUCCAUUCCUUAUUCUCCCCAAACAACUUAGAUAACCUUUCAGCACUCUGAAACUCCAUGAGUUCAUAGUUUGUAAAUGGAACACACAAAACCCAAAGGGAAUGCUUUUCACAGUUUGUCCCAACCCAUUCCCAGCAAAUGGAUUGAGGGCGACAGAACUCUACUGUCUGAGCUAAGUAUGAAGAGAAGUAAUGUGUCGCUGACAGAGGAGAAUCGGGUAUUGAAAGCUAUGUUUUCUGUGUGUCUGUUACCUACCCUGUCACGUUACAAUCCAGAGCUAUCUCGGACGACUCAC
Long non-coding RNA from Acinonyx jubatus (cheetah), 1542 nucleotides. RefSeq lists it as uncharacterized. The record is from RefSeq and is a predicted model, not a curated record. Lineage: Eukaryota; Metazoa; Chordata; Mammalia; Carnivora; Felidae. The transcript has 3 exons.